AUUGAACGCUGGCGGCAUGCUUUACACAUGCAAGUCGAACGGCAGCACGGACUUCGGUCUGGUGGCGAGUGGCGAACGGGUGAGUAAUACAUCGGAACGUACUCAGUAUGGGGGAUAACUAUCCGAAAGGAUAGCUAAUACCGCAUACGCCCUACGGGGGAAAGAGGGGGAUCGCAAGACCUAUUGUUAUUGGAGCGGCCGAUGGCUGAUUAGCUAGUUGGUAGGGUAAAGGCCUACCAAGGCAACGAUCAGUAGCGGGUCUUAGAGGACGAUCCGCCACACUGGAACUGAGACACGGUCCAGACUCCUACGGGAGGCAGCAGUGGGGAAUCUUGGACAAUGGGCGCAAGCCUGAUCCAGCAAUGCCGCGUGCGUGAAGAAGGCCUUCGGGUUGUAAAGCGCUUUUGUCAGGGAGCAAAUCCUUGUGGCUAAUACCCACCGGGGAUGAGAGUACCUGAAGAAUAAGGACCGGCUAACUACGUGCCAGCAGCCGCGGUAA
RNAcentral lists this ribosomal RNA (499 nucleotides) under uncultured bacterium. Its description in RNAcentral is "partial 16S ribosomal RNA". It matches the Rfam family "Bacterial small subunit ribosomal RNA", at positions 30 to 523 of the family's 1533-position model. The record is from RNAcentral.